AAUUACCAUUAGCAGUUGAAGUGGUAGGAAAUUUUUACAUAGGAGAGUAUGGUGAUCAUAUUUGCAUUUUAGAAAAUAAUGGAUAGCAGUUUGUUAGGGGAACAAAGGACAGAGACAGGGAGACUAUUUAAAACAUUAAUAAAAAAUACCAGUGACAGAUGAUGAGGCACCUACCUGAUGGGAAUGGAGAAGAGGAGAUGGAUUCAGAAACUACUUAGGAGAGUCUCGCUCAGUUUCCAGGCUGGAGUGUAAUGGCGUGAUCUUGGCUCACUGCAACCUCUGCCUCCCAGCUUCAAGUGAUUCCCCUGCUUUAGCCUCCCAAGCAGCUGGGACUACAGGCAUGCACCAGCAUGGCCGGCUAAUUUUUUUUUGUAUUUUAGUACAGAUGGGGUUUAACCAUGUUGGCCAGGAUGAUCUUGAUCUCCUGACCUCGUGAUCUGCCCACCUCGGCCUCCCAAAGUGCUAGGAUUACAGGCGUGAGCCACCUUGCCCGGCCUUCUAUUCCUUUUUCUAAUGCAUUUGCCCCAGCUAUCUGUAUAGCCUGCAAUCUGGUAGAUGGACCACAGGGAAACCACUGCAGCAAACUAAAAGUGUCUAUCUCAGAUCCUUCCACCACCAUCAUUUCCAAAAUCACCGUCACUAUCUCCACCACCAUCACCUUUACCACCAUCACCACUAUCAUCCUCAUCCUUCCCAUCACCAUCUCCACUGCUAUCUCUCAACACCAUCAUCAUCACCACCACCACCAUCAUCACCAUGAGCACCACCUCUGUCGUCAUCAAAAAAGCACACAGUUCAGGCUGGCCUGUUGGAGGAUAACAGAUCAUGUGGAGCAGAGACGAGCUGGCCCACCUCAGGCCCUACCAGAGCAAUCAGCUUGCCAAACACGACAUACAUCAGCGAGGCCAUCCUAGACCAUCCAGCCCUAGCUGAGCCAGCCCAGACCAGAGACUCAUGAGAAACAGUAAAAUGUUCAUCAUUUUAAGCCACUAGAUUUUGUGGUGGUUUGUUAUACACCAAAAGCUAACUGAUACAGGGACCA
Molecule: long non-coding RNA, 1042 nt
Filed under: Homo sapiens (human)
Lineage: Eukaryota; Metazoa; Chordata; Mammalia; Primates; Hominidae
Description: uncharacterized LOC105374780, transcript variant 1 (LOC105374780)
Source: RNAcentral